This 487-nucleotide ribosomal RNA is filed under the name uncultured bacterium. RNAcentral's name for it is "bacterial SSU rRNA". It matches the Rfam family "Bacterial small subunit ribosomal RNA", at positions 28 to 507 of the family's 1533-position model. The record is from RNAcentral.
GACGAACGCUGGCGGCGUGCCUAAUACAUGCAAGUCGAGCGAAAAUUUGAGAGCUUGCUCUCAAAUUUUAGCGGCGGACGGGUGAGUAACACGUGGACAAUCUGCCUCGAAGACUGGAAUAACCUCGCGAAAGCGGGGCUAAUACCGGAUAAUAAUGGAAAUUUUAUGGUUUCUAUUUAAAGCUCCGGCGCUUCGAGAUGAGUCCGCGUCUGAUUAGCUUGUUGGUGAGGUAACGGCUCACCAAGGCAACGAUCAGUAGCCGGCCUGAGAGGGCGAUCGGCCACAUUGGGACUGAGACACGGCCCAGACUCCUACGGGAGGCAGCAGUAGGGAAUCUUCCACAAUGGACGAAAGUCUGAUGGAGCAACGCCGCGUGAGUGAAGAAGGUUUUCGGAUCGUAAAACUCUGUUGUAAGGGAAGAACACGUACGAGAGUAACUGCUCGUACCUUGACGGUACCUUAUUAGAAAGCCACGGCUAACUACGUG